UACAAUGAUUCUUUUGGGGAGGGAAAGGAGGGUUGGACUUGAGAGUAGUUUAUUUUUAAUAAAGCAAAAUGUGUCUUUUGGUUAGUGUAACAAGCUGGUUAAUAAGAAAGACAGUUACUUUAUGGUUCUUCACUAUCAGCUUUUUCUUUCCUGAAAUGUGGAAAAUAACACAUAUUUUCUACCUACCUCACAGGGAUGUUGUGAGGAUUGAUAGGAUCAAAUGUUAUAAAAUUCCAUGGUUUUUAAAUCAUAUUGGUGGUAGGAGUAGUUUCUGUAAGAACUGAAUUACUAGCUUUUGUCAACCUGUGGUGACAUAGUGUCUGAGGUUCUAAGUAUGACAAACAUUCUUACUCUUGACCAGACUCAUGAAGAAUGGUGCCAUAUAUGGCUGGGAAGAUGAAUGCUGAAUUAAAUUCAGUUCCUGAAUCUGUUAAUUGCCAAUGUGAAAGCACUUCUAUAUGUGUUUUAAAUUUCUGUCCUUAUCUUCAGGUUGGUCUUUAGAAUCUGGUCUUAUUUCUCUGUGCUUUCUUGUAAUUUAGGAAGUAGAGUGUUAGUAUGGUUAAAAAAAUACUGAAAAUCCUAGCCUGGUUAGUGUCUAUAGAAGAAGGGAUUUUAGCAUUAAGAACUGGGGCCAGUCAUACUAGGCCCUAUCACCUCCAAAGUCUGUUCAGCCUAAUGACUCUAGUCUUUCAAAGAAAUUGUAAACAUACUUAAUUUUUCUGAAUAUAUGUCAAAAGCAGAGUUAAGAUACUUUAAUUAUUUAGUUAUAUGUUCUCAUUUUAAGGAAAAAUGGUUUUUAGGGCCUUUGGCCUAAUAAAGCUAUAUAAACCUUUGUUGGCACUCUUUUAAGUCAUUUAAAGAAGCUUGGUUUCAUUGUCAGAUCUAGGAAUGAAUAUAAAUUAAACAUUCGAUCAUGUUCUGAAGGGUAGAAGCCCACUGAAAGACAAUUCUGCAGUUGAGGUUGUUUAGAACCAUGGUUAUUAUAUUAGUCAUCUAAGUGAUUAUCAUUGGUUUCAACAGGUAAAAAUAUUUAGUCUUUUUCCAUGUGUUAAUACUAUUUUUUGUACCUUUCUCUGGUAAGGGUUGUAUUUGGCCCCAGGACAAGAAAUAUUUCAAGUCAGUUCACCCAUUCCACCUUUUGCUUAGAAACUUACUACCUUUGGAGAAAGCCAAAAUGUUGUCCAGGUGAUUGUGACAAUGGCAACUUGAGAUUUCAGUUUUGCCUUAGAAAAAUGGGAAGUAGUGCUCCACACUGUGGCAGAAGUGGGAUAGCAUUUCUAACUCCUUUGACACCAAGAUUGAAACAACGUUGUUGGAGGAGCCAAGACCAACCAAGCAAGAUGGAAGGGACACUGAUGUGAUAUAACUACCAUCUCACCAGCAUCACAGUUUUUCCUAUCUGGGAUACCUGAUUUUAGGUUCAGUCAAUGUACUCUUAAACGUGCCUUACUGAGAAAAGUUCAAGCUCAACAUUUAAAGAAGUGAAAAAAAAAAAGAAAACGCUCAGUCCGCAAUGACGCAUUAUCUCCGCAUGGCCUUGAAAAGACAGUAGUAGGGAAAAACACAUUUUACUGUGUGCCUCAAGGAAUUUCUAAUGCUGAUUGCUUAGUAACACCCUGUGCCUUCUGUGUGGAGGAAUGCGGCCCUCACAUCCCUUUGGGAAUCUCAAAUGAACAAGUGAUAGUUUGGCAGCAGUAGAAAAGAAUAGGACUUUAUGAAUGUGAAAUCAUGAUUUUUUUGCUUUUUUUACCAAGAAGAUUUAAAUGUAUAAUAAUCCUUUCAGGUCAUCUCUGCAUCUAUUUGUGAUUUCAUGUUACAAUUAUGUCAUGCAAAAAGACAAUAGCUAUUAUAGAUUGUCUUCAACAGUUGAAACUCAGACUUGCUCUGUUCAGUAAACUUCAUUUGUAGACCAUAAAAAGAUGAGAAAUAUUAUAAAAUAGUAAUUUUUGUUAUGGAAUUACAGUGUAUUUUAUAUUUGUCAAGCUCACUUACAUGUGUCUUUUUGUCCCUUUACUAUGGAGAGGAAUAAGACUAUGAUCAUGGCAGCAUCUCAGCUUGCUCUGAUAUAUUUCCUCCUGCUCUAUUUUAUUUAUGCUUUAAAUAGUUGUAGCUGAAAAUAAGUGGACCAACCAUUGGAUAGAUUUAAUUCAUAUAUUUAUUCACUGUCUUUCUGUUCUCUUCCCCAUAUACACACCCUGCAGUGAUUCUAAACCUGAUUUUCUGUUCAGGAAAUGGUAUGGGAUGGCUAUUUCCAAAGUUUACAAAUAAGUAGACAUUGAUAUUCUAGUUGUGCACUAUAUAUAUUCUUCCAGAGUCAUACCAUUUUUUAUUAUGCAGUGUACUUUAUGGAUAGUUAUAUGCUUUAUGCAUACUGAUUUAGAAUGGACAGUUUACCAGAGAACUAAGAGUCCUACUUUGGGACAAAUUUGCAAGCAAAAUGUAGACAACUUUGAGUAGAUUUUAAGAUAUAGGUUGUUAAGGGAAGAAGAAACAUCAGCAAUUGGUAAAUGGUAUGUUUCUAAUAGUUGUAGUUCUUAGAAAUUCAGCCAGCUUAGAAAUGUUUAUGUAACCUAAAAAAUUUUUAAAAAUAAUUUUAAAACUCAGAGGUUUGAGUUGGCCUGUAAUGUUAUUGAUAAUAAUAUCAAGAAUAUUUGAUUUUUUUUUUUAUCCCAGCAAGAAUAUUGUCUUUUGGAUUCCUUAAAUGAAAAGUAGACAACAAAUUUCACCACUUUACUCUUACUUUCCACACUUUUGUCAGUCCAAGGUGCUUUGCCCUCUCUAUUCUGUUUAGUCCUGUUGGCCAUGAGAGACCAAAUGUAUAUUUUAUAGCUGAAGUUGAGUAUUUAAAUUGUAACUUUGUGGGUGGUACUCAUGAAUAUUUAAUAUUCUACUUCUACCUGAUAUUUAAAUCAUUUCUUGAAUCUGCAUAAUGCAUUGUGUUAAGAUAAUUAUAGGUACAAGGUAACAGAUUUUUGGCUGCUUAUCAAGGUAGCAGUAGUCAUAGUCCUCUCAAAGACAUUUUAUUUUUUGUCCCCUUUUUUGUUUAUAUUUAUUAUCUCUUUUGUAAGAUAGUGUGCAUAUAAAGUAUGAAAAGCUUUCUGUUAUUACUUGUAUUUUCUAAUCUAAUUUUUAUGUAGUUUUUAUUAAAUGCUCCAUUACUUUUUAUAAGAA
Long non-coding RNA from Manis pentadactyla (Chinese pangolin), 3171 nucleotides. RefSeq lists it as uncharacterized. The record is from RefSeq and is a predicted model, not a curated record. NCBI's taxonomy places the organism in Eukaryota, Metazoa, Chordata, Mammalia, Pholidota, Manidae. The transcript is spliced from 2 exons.